UGAACCGAGCAAACCUGGUUAUACCUCAAGUGUAGCAGCAGCAACAACUUUUAGAUGUUUCUAAGGUUAAUCUAAAGAUGUCACCGCCAUUAAGGUUCAGGCAACUUUUUGGUGUUUCUUGGCACGAAGAAAGUUGCGAGCUUUCAAAGGGCACGUGAGGUUAAGAGUGUUGGUUCAAAGCUACGCAGUUAUAGAGCUCCAAAAUCAAAUACCGGUCGCGGUCCACUAUUCAACUUGGGAUGUUUUAUU
This 249-nucleotide long non-coding RNA is filed under the name Helianthus annuus (common sunflower). RNAcentral describes it as "hypothetical non coding rna". The record is from RNAcentral. Lineage: Eukaryota; Viridiplantae; Streptophyta; Magnoliopsida; Asterales; Asteraceae.